Molecule: ribosomal RNA, 209 nt
Filed under: uncultured bacterium
Lineage: Bacteria
Description: partial 16S ribosomal RNA
Rfam family: Bacterial small subunit ribosomal RNA
Source: RNAcentral
UGUCUCAGUUCGGAUUGGAGUCUGCAACCCGACUCCAUGAAGCUGGAUUCGCUAGUAAUCGCGCAUCAGCCACGGCGCGGUGAAUACGUUCCCGGGCCUUGUACACACCGCCCGUCAAGCCAUGGAAGCCGGGAGUGCCUGAAGUGCGUGAGCGCAAGCAGCGCCCUAAGGUAAAACCGGUGACUGGGGCUAAGUCGUAACAAGGUAUC